Molecule: transfer RNA, 69 nt
Filed under: Bos taurus (domestic cattle)
Lineage: Eukaryota; Metazoa; Chordata; Mammalia; Artiodactyla; Bovidae
Also listed under: 4 other names
Rfam family: tRNA
About the family: Transfer RNA (tRNA) molecules are approximately 80 nucleotides in length.
Source: Rfam by way of RNAcentral
CCUGGUGGUUCAGUGGUUAGAACUCUGCACUCGUAAUGCAGCAGGUACAAGUUCCAUCCCUGGUCCAGG